ACAGCCCCGUACACAAAAGCGCAUGUGCUGUGAGCUCGAUGAGUAGGGCGGGACACGUGGUAUCCUGUCUGAAUAUGGGGGGACCAUCCUCCAAGGCUAAAUACUCCUGACUGACCGAUAGUGAACCAGUACCGUGAGGGAAAGGCGAAAAGAACCCCGGCGAGGGGAGUGAAAAAGAACCUGAAACCGUGUACGUACAAGCAGUGGGAGCACAGGUUUACCUGUGUGACUGCGUACCUUUUGUAUAAUGGGUCAGCGACUUAUAUUCUGUAGCAAGGUUAACCGUAUAGGGGAGCCGGAGGGAAACCGAGUCUUAAUUGGGCGUUAAGUUGCAGGGUAUAGACCCGAAACCCGGUGAUCUAGCCAUGGGCAGGUUGAAGGUUGGGUAACACUAACUGGAGGACCGAACCGACUAAUGUUGAAAAAUUAGCGGAUGACCUGUGGCUGGGGGUGAAAGGCCAAUCAAACCGGGAGAUAGCUGGUUCUCCCCGAAAGCUAUUUAGGUAGCGCCUCGUGAAUUCAUCUCCGGGGGUAGAGCACUGUUUCGGCUAGGGGGCCAUCCCGGCUUACCAACCCGAUGCAAACUGCGAAUACCGGAGAAUGUUAUCACGGGAGACACACGGCGGGUGCUAACGUCCGUCGUGAAGAGGGAAACAACCCAGACCGCCAGCUAAGGUCCCAAAGUCAUGGUUAAGUGGGAAACGAUGUGGGAAGGCCCAGACAGCCAGGAUGUUGGCUUAGAAGCAGCCAUCAUUUAAAGAAAGCGUAAUAGCUCACUGGUCGAGUCGGCCUGCGCGGAAGAUGUAACGGGGCUAAACCAUGCACCGAAGCUGCGGCAGCGACGCUUAUGCGUUGUUGGGUAGGGGAGCGUUCUGUAAGCCUGUGAAGGUGGCCUGUGAGGGUUGCUGGAGGUAUCAGAAGUGCGAAUGCUGACAUAAGUAACGAUAAAGCGGGUGAAAAGCCCGCUCGCCGGAAGACCAAGGGUUCCUGUCCAACGUUAAUCGGGGCAGGGUGAGUCGACCCCUAAGGCGAGGCCGAAAGGCGUAGUCGAUGGGAAACGGGUUAAUAUUCCCGUACUUGGUGUUACUGCGAAGGGGGGACGGAGAAGGCUAUGUUGGCCGGGCGACGGUUGUCCCGGUUUAAGCGUGUAGGUGUGUGUUCCAGGUAAAUCCGGUUCACUUUAACACUGAGGCGUGACGACGAGGCACUACGGUGCUGAAGCAACAAAUGCCCUGCUUCCAGGAAAAGCCUCUAAGCAUCAGGUAACAUCAAAUCGUACCCCAAACCGACACAGGUGGUCAGGUAGAGAAUACCAAGGCGCUUGAGAGAACUCGGGUGAAGGAACUAGGCAAAAUGGUGCCGUAACUUCGGGAGAAGGCACGCUGACACGUAGGUGAAGUGAUUUACUCAUGGAGCUGAAGUCAGUCGAAGAUACCAGCUGGCU
Molecule: ribosomal RNA, 1444 nt
Filed under: Salmonella enterica subsp. enterica serovar Saintpaul
Lineage: Bacteria; Pseudomonadati; Pseudomonadota; Gammaproteobacteria; Enterobacterales; Enterobacteriaceae
Description: partial 23S ribosomal RNA
Rfam family: Bacterial large subunit ribosomal RNA
Source: RNAcentral